RNAcentral lists this ribosomal RNA (409 nucleotides) under uncultured bacterium. RNAcentral's name for it is "bacterial SSU rRNA". It matches the Rfam family "Bacterial small subunit ribosomal RNA", at positions 356 to 773 of the family's 1533-position model. The record is from RNAcentral.
GGGGAAUAUUGCACAAUGGGCGGAAGCCUGAUGCAGCGACGCCGCGUGGGGGAUGACGGCCUUCGGGUUGUAAACCUCUUUCGUCGGGGAAGAAGCCUUUCGGGGUGACGGUACCCGGAGAAGAAGCACCGGCUAACUACGUGCCAGCAGCCGCGGUAAUACGUAGGGUGCGAGCGUUGUCCGGAAUUAUUGGGCGUAAAGAGCUUGUAGGCGGUUUGUCGCGUCUGCGGUGAAAACCUAACGCUUAACGUUGGGCGUGCCGUGGGUACGGGCAGGCUAGAGUGUGGUAGGGGAGACUGGAAUUCCUGGUGUAGCGGUGAAAUGCGCAGAUAUCAGGAGGAACACCGAUGGCGAAGGCAGGUCUCUGGGCCAUAACUGACGCUGAGAAGCGAAAGCAUGGGGAGCGAAC